GGAAUUCCAAACUAGUUUAAACAUCAAAAGGCCAAAUAGAAAUCAGGCCAAAUAGAAAUCUUAUAUUUUACAGUAAAACAGAAAUGAACUUUUUCAUGACCUUGUGAGAUGGCUCCCUGUGAGCUGCAAGACAGGCUGAAUAAAUGUUAGCUGCAGAGUGGGCUGAACACUGCACCCCCACCCAUCUGGUUCCUUAUCGCUUGUUUGCCUCAAGGCUGAACACUGAAUCCCACUCAAGGCUGAACACUCAACUCCCACUUGUCUGGUGCAAGGAAACCCAUAACUGGCCCCUGCCUGAUCUGUCUGAAGGCAGAAGAUGACACCCUUGGCAAGUACUGUGUGACCCAAUCCCUGUAUGCCAACAGAGCAGCUUGCAGACCCAGAGACACUGUUAGAUUUAAACACACAGCAAAAGGGAUGUAAGACCUCCUUUCUCUCGCUUUGCUGUCUCCCUCUCUCUCUUCUCUCCUUCCCUGCUCUCUCUCUUUCUCCUUUUCUCAUUGAUCAGACACCACCGAAAUAAAGAUCUCUUGCUCAGAGUGUCAUGGUCACUUUCCUUUCACUCCCAAUCUUAAAAUGGAAUUAGGCUGGGUUCUUCAAGAAUUUCUGUUUUUGUAGGGAGGAGCAAACAGGAGUAGAAACAGGGUGGGACAGGAAUGGAGCAGGGGGUGGUAACCUUAGACCCUAGACUAACUCUAUCCAGUUUCCCUCUGAAGUCACCCUGCUUUUAGAGUGACCUUGCUCAGGCUGAGGGUGGGUCAAAGAUCACAGACCGAGAGGAAAGACAGUUCAGAAAAAGCUUGCUUAAUAAGUGUUAGAUUUAGUUAAAUGGUGCCCCGUUUGUGGGGUGUGAAAGAUUUUACAGAGUCUAAGUGCAAAGCAAAGUUUUAUUCAAUUUCCCAGGGAGAAAAGGGUCAGAUACCAUAGGCAGCAUAAUCGCAAAAUGAGCAAUGCAGACUCCAUAGGUUCUGCGAAGCUGUGUGUUUAUUCCCAGACUCAAUCACUCAGGCACCCAAGGGGCUCACUUUCUGGUUAGAAUUGAAUUUUAUCGGGUACAAUGAGGAUGGUUUAAUCGUUGGAAACUGCUGACAUGCCGAUGGGACAGUCAGGGAAUUAGUUGUGCAGGUUAAAAGUUUAACUCAGCAAGGCAGGUGUAAAAAGGUUGACGAGUCCUUGCUUCCCCGAUGUUGAAGAAUAACACCAAAGAAGCACGCUGAGGCAAGGUCAGAGUAGAAAUUAGAAGUUUAUUAAAGGACAGCAGAAAAGACUUCNC
This 1273-nucleotide long non-coding RNA is filed under the name Marmota monax (woodchuck). Lineage: Eukaryota; Metazoa; Chordata; Mammalia; Rodentia; Sciuridae. The record is from RNAcentral.